CCUACGGUGGGCAGCAGUGGGGAAUCUUGCACAAUGGGGGAAACCCUGAUGCAGCGACGCCGCGUGAGUGAAGAAGUAUUUCGGUAUGUAAAGCUCUAUUAGCAGGGAAGAAAAAAGACGGUAGCUGACUAAGAAGCCCCGGCUAACUACGUGCCAGCAGCCGCGGUAAUACGUAGGGGGCAAGCGUUAGCCGGAUUUACUGGGUGGAAAGGGAGCGUAGACGGCGCGGCAAGUCUGAGGUGAAAGGCAAGGGCUUAACCCCUGAACUGCUUUGGAAACUGCCAGGCUAGAGUGCUGGAGAGGUAAGUGGAAUUCCUAGUGUAGCGGUGAAAUGCGUAGAUAUUAGGAGGAACACCAGUGGCGAAGGCGGCUUACUGGACAGUAACUGACGCUGAGGCUCGAAAGCGUGGGGAGCAAACAGGAUUAGAUACCCCAGUAGUC
RNAcentral lists this ribosomal RNA (441 nucleotides) under uncultured bacterium. RNAcentral describes it as "partial 16S ribosomal RNA". It matches the Rfam family "Bacterial small subunit ribosomal RNA", at positions 338 to 795 of the family's 1533-position model. The record is from RNAcentral.